Zonotrichia albicollis (white-throated sparrow) is the source of this 1584-nucleotide non-coding RNA. The record is from RefSeq and is a predicted model, not a curated record. Lineage: Eukaryota; Metazoa; Chordata; Aves; Passeriformes; Passerellidae.
GAAGUAUACAAGAUACAAUGAAGGUAAAGAUAAGUUUCAAUGAAGAAUGGUGCUGAAGAACGGGGAGAUUUUUGGAGGAGCAUGUAAUGAGUUGACUUCAUGGGUUUGCAGUAUAAACCGAUGCUAUGGUGAUGGGUUGGAAGUGCAGGCAGAGCUGCAGUUGGACAAGUUCAUGGGCUCUGGUGUUAAUUGGUGAUUGCCAGCUGCUGUGAGACUGGGCCAGCCAUGGGAAGAAGGUGAGCCAUGGAAACCUGUAGUCUGUGCUGGAAAAUAAGUGACUGGGAAUGUGACUAACUUGCUGCAAGACGUUAUUUCUGGGACGUCUCUUGACCCGUGUGCACAGAUGAUGAACAAUUUCUCCUUUCUGGGUUGGCUUCUUUGCCUCUUGGUGCAGAAAUUGUCCUGAAAGCACGCCAGGAACCUAAGUCAUAGAGAAGUGCUCUGGAACUGGAGUGAGAACAACAUGCUUGAUGAAACAUGUCAAGCUACGUUAUAUUGUAGUUGGAUCUCAAUAAGGACUGCCUAAUCAAAAGGGCCCGCAAGAAGAACUGGGUUAUUUCAUGAAGGCUGAGGUCCUUCAGCAGAAAUGUGGCAUAAAUAGAGUGCAGUGGAUAGUCCUGUGUAUAAGAGGAAAAUUUUAAAUUCAAUGUUCUCUGAAACUCCAAAACCAGAAAGAAACAAAAGGAGAAAUCAAGCUACAGAGGAGAGGAAAACAUAAACUACAGCAGAUUACUUAUCUGCUCUCCUUUGAACUCACUCCUGCCUGUUGCCUUGAACAUUUCCUAUGCCUGUAGUAGGUGAAACAGGACAGGAAUUCUCUCUCAGACAAGGGAAAUGUCCUUUCCAAGCACAUAAGGAAAUCUGUUUUGCAGCAGCAGGUUCACUCCACAUGGAAUCUCUGUACUUUUAUGACAUGUACAGUUGGUUGUAAUGCCAUACUGGGUAUCAUGUAUAACAUCAAAGAGCUAAAUAAUAUCCCAUUCUCUGCAAAGGAUGGGUUUUUACUGCAGGGUAGAAUGAAAGCUGAGAGCUAAAAAUGUCAUCACCUGUUUGCUUCAAAAGUCAGGUGACAGUGGUGAAUGAUGCUCAGAAUUCCAGAAAAAGAACGGAAGAGUGGGUUUUCAGGUAUCCAAAGGGCCCUUGAAUUCAAUAUACCAUCAAGAUCCUGAAAAUCUGUGGCACAGCUGAACCUUUUGUGUCUGUAAGAAAAUUCUGUAUUCAGACUGGAUGAAGGGCCCAGACCAAGAACUCUUCUGCUGGAGGAAUUUUUCCAGAUGGUUUUUCCAGCAAAUGUUUCCCAUGGCAAUUCCAGCAGCGAGCACUCGGACAUCUGCUUCCCAUCACGGUGUGAAGUGUGAAGCAUCAGGUUUUUGUAGCUGUCCCACUAUUAAGUGAAGGCUGCCCUCCUCACCCUGGCCCGUGUCAAGGCCACUUCCCUGGGCUCUGCACACCUGAUUUGGGCUCUGCUCACUGCUGGCUGGGCUUGUGGAAAUGAGAGGUUUAGAAAUGGAAGGAUUGAGGGGAAAUCCAGCAUUGGCUUCACAGACACAGAAUUGCCAGAGGGUUGGGCAGAGCUGGGGCCAC